This is a long non-coding RNA of Harpia harpyja (harpy eagle), 578 nucleotides long. RefSeq lists it as uncharacterized. Lineage: Eukaryota; Metazoa; Chordata; Aves; Accipitriformes; Accipitridae. The record is from RefSeq and is a predicted model, not a curated record. The transcript is spliced from 4 exons.
GUACGGGAGGGGCGGGGCGGCCGCGGCCCAUUGUGGGCCGGGGCCGGGCGGGCUCCGCGCCGCGCAGCCCAGCGCCGCGCCGGCAGGUACGGCGGUCCGCGCCCGGGGGGAUUUCCAAAGGGCGUAUUUAUCUUCCAGAGUGCUGCCUAAGUGUCGCUUAAUCAUUAAGCAUUUGAUUUCCUCCAAGUUAUCUGUCAUGCUGCUUAUGAUAAGAUGCAUCAAACAUGCAGAAGAUCACACUGCGCAGAAUCAUCCGAGAAGGGUCAAGUAGUGGACAAGUGAGGAAGACUACGGAAGACCACCAGAGGACUCCUGAAGACCACCAGAGACCUUCAAUGCGCCUGCGUGCCAGAGCGCAUCACGGGCACGCCCGCCGGCCAGCCCCGGCCUUCGGCCUCACCCCGGCUCAGCGACUCGCAGCUGCCCUGGUGUACUGGUGAAGGCUGGGCUAGAGUUCGUUUUCUUCACGGGAGCUUGCGUGCUGCUUUAUGUUGGAUUUCUUGCCAUCUGCCUGCCAACGGCAAUCUCACAAUCACGGAACGUCCUGAGUUGGAAGGGACCCCCGAGGAUCAUCGAGU